CUGCGAACGGCUCAUUACAACAGAUAUAAUCUACUUGUUUUAUGUUUAAACGGAUAACUGCGGUAAUUCUGGAUGCCAAUACGUGCACAAAGGCCUACGUAGCAAUACGGAGGCUGCACUUAUCGGAGCAAAAUCAAUCAUUGAAUAAUGCUAACUCUGGAUAAGCAAGCUUAUCGCAUGGCGCAAGCCGGCGAAGGAACAUUCGAGUAUCUGCCCUAUCAUCUAUCGUAGGUAGUGUAUUGGACUACCCAGGAGAUAACGGGUAACGGAGAAUCAGGGUUCGACUCCGGAGAGGGAGCCUUAGAAACGGCUACCAUCGCUAAGGCGAGCAGCAGGCGCGCAACUUAUCCACUGUCCACUCGGACGAGAUAGUGACGAGAAAUAACAAGCCCGUUCUCUUUGAGGUCGGGCAUUGGAAUGGACCGAAUGUAAACGAUUCGGUGAGUACCCACAAGAGGUCAAUUCUGGUGUCAG
RNAcentral lists this ribosomal RNA (474 nucleotides) under Nematoda environmental sample. RNAcentral's name for it is "bacterial SSU rRNA". It matches the Rfam family "Eukaryotic small subunit ribosomal RNA", at positions 87 to 570 of the family's 1831-position model. The record is from RNAcentral. Lineage: Eukaryota; Metazoa; Nematoda.